Molecule: ribosomal RNA, 411 nt
Filed under: uncultured bacterium
Lineage: Bacteria
Description: bacterial SSU rRNA
Rfam family: Bacterial small subunit ribosomal RNA
Source: RNAcentral
AGUGAACGCUGGCGGCAGGCCUAACACAUGCAAGUCGAGCGGCAGCGCGUCCGACCACCCUCGGGUGGUCGGAUGGCGGCGAGCGGCGGACGGGUGAGGAAUGCAUCGGAAUCUGCCUCGUUGUGGGGGAUAACGUAGGGAAACUUAUGCUAAUACCGCAUACGACCUACGGGUGAAAGUGGGGGACCUUCGGGCCUCACGCGAUGAGAUGAGCCGAUGCCGGAUUAGCUAGUUGGCGGGGUAAAGGCCCACCAAGGCGACGAUCCGUAGCUGGUCUGAGAGGAUGAUCAGCCACACUGGAACUGAGACACGGUCCAGACUCCUACGGGAGGCAGCAGUGGGGAAUAUUGGACAAUGGGGGCAACCCUGAUCCAGCCAUGCCACGUGUGUGAAGAAGGCCUCGGUUGUAAG